GAUGAACGCUGGCGGCGUGCCUAAUACAUGCAAGUCGAGCGAACGGACGAGAAGCUUGCUUCUCUGAUGUUAGCGGCGGACGGGUGAGUAACACGUGGAUAACCUACCUAUAAGACUGGGAUAACUUCGGGAAACCGGAGCUAAUACCGGAUAAUAUUUUGAACCGCAUGGUUCAAAAGUGAAAGACGGUCUUGCUGUCACUUAUAGAUGGAUCCGCGCUGCAUUAGCUAGUUGGUAAGGUAACGGCUUACCAAGGCAACGAUGCAUAGCCGACCUGAGAGGGUGAUCGGCCACUCUGGAACUGAGACACGGUCCAGACUCCUACGGGAGGCAGCAGUAGGGAAUCUUCCGCAAUGGGCGAAAGCCUGACGGAGCAACGCCGCGUGAGUGAUGAAGGUCUUCGGAUCGUAAAACUCUGUUAUUAGGGAAGAACAUAUGUGUAAGUAACUGUGCACAUCUUGACGUUACCUAAUCAGAAAGCCACGGCUAACUACGUG
RNAcentral lists this ribosomal RNA (497 nucleotides) under uncultured bacterium. Its description in RNAcentral is "partial 16S ribosomal RNA". It matches the Rfam family "Bacterial small subunit ribosomal RNA", at positions 28 to 507 of the family's 1533-position model. The record is from RNAcentral.